GGGGGUGAAAGGCUUCGACCCAGGUAGUGGGACAAAGGUGGCAUGUAGAGGUUGCUAGGAGGCCUCUUUAAACACCUGGCAAAAACACAAAUGCUGACAACUACAAAGUGCCAGCAACGGUGAAUGAGUUACUGAGCACCAUGCAAGUGGUGCCGGGACCCGUUCUACCGGUAGCGUUACCUUUAUAAGGUAACCCGUCAACCAAUCAGGCCUGCGGGGUUGGAUUGGCGUCGAUAGCAGGAUAGUCCAGCUUGUUUAGCCUUUAAUAAGUUGGAUGAAAUUAAUAAAGGAUACCGUUUUGAAAUUCCUCCUAUUGAAGUUCAAAACGGGAAAUCAAAGAUUAGGAUAAACAUGUAGAGGCUUUUGUUUUAAUAUUUGGGGACGCGGGUUCGAAUCCCGCCACCUCCACCA
This 411-nucleotide transfer-messenger RNA is filed under the name Candidatus Omnitrophota bacterium. It matches the Rfam family "transfer-messenger RNA". Rfam says of the family: Bacterial tmRNA, also known as 10Sa RNA or SsrA, is named for its dual tRNA and mRNA-like properties. Its role is to liberate the mRNA from a stalled ribosome. The record is from RNAcentral. Lineage: Bacteria; Pseudomonadati; Candidatus Omnitrophota.